GACGAACGCUGGCGGCGUGCCUAAUACAUGCAAGUUGAGCGAUGAAGAUUGGUGCUUGCACCAAUUUGAAGAGCAGCGAACGGGUGAGUAACGCGUGGGGAAUCUGCCUUUGAGCGGGGGACAACAUUUGGAAACGAAUGCUAAUACCGCAUAAUAACUUUAAACAUAAGUUUUAAGUUUGAAAGAUGCAAUUGCAUCACUCAAAGAUGAUCCCGCGUUGUAUUAGCUAGUUGGUGAGGUAAAGGCUCACCAAGGCGAUGAUACAUAGCCGACCUGAGAGGGUGAUCGGCCACAUUGGGACUGAGACACGGCCCAAACUCCUACGGGAGGCAGCAGUAGGGAAUCUUCGGCAAUGGACGAAAGUCUGACCGAGCAACGCCGCGUGAGUGAAGAAGGUUUUCGGAUCGUAAAACUCUGUUGGAAGAGAAGAACGUUGGUGAGAGUGGAAAGCUCAUCAAGUGACGGUAACUACCCAGAAAGGGACGGCUAACUACGUG
This 497-nucleotide ribosomal RNA is filed under the name uncultured bacterium. Its description in RNAcentral is "partial 16S ribosomal RNA". It matches the Rfam family "Bacterial small subunit ribosomal RNA", at positions 28 to 507 of the family's 1533-position model. The record is from RNAcentral.